This 490-nucleotide ribosomal RNA is filed under the name uncultured bacterium. Its description in RNAcentral is "partial 16S ribosomal RNA". It matches the Rfam family "Bacterial small subunit ribosomal RNA", at positions 30 to 507 of the family's 1533-position model. The record is from RNAcentral.
AUUGAACGCUGGCGGCAGGCCUAACACAUGCAAGUCGAACGGUAACAGGAAACAGCUUGCUGUUUCGCUGACGAGUGGCGGACGGGUGAGUAAUGUCUGGGAAACUGCCUGAUGGAGGGGGAUAACUACUGGAAACGGUAGCUAAUACCGCAUAACGUCGCAAGACCAAAGAGGGGGACCCUCGGGCCUCUUGCCAUCGGAUGUGCCCAGAUGGGAUUAGCUUGUUGGUGGGGUAACGGCUCACCAAGGCGACGAUCCCUAGCUGGACUGAGAGGAUGACCAGCCACACUGGAACUGAGACACGGUCCAGACUCCUACGGGAGGCAGCAGUGGGGAAUAUUGCACAAUGGGCGCAAGCCUGAUGCAGCCAUGCCGCGUGUAUGAAGAAGGCCUUCGGGUUGUAAAGUACUUUCAGCGGGGAGGAAGGGAGUAAAGUUAAUACCUUUGCUCAUUGACGUUACCCGCAGAAGAAGCACCGGCUAACUCCGUG